This 119-nucleotide ribosomal RNA is filed under the name Pteropus alecto (black flying fox). Lineage: Eukaryota; Metazoa; Chordata; Mammalia; Chiroptera; Pteropodidae. The record is from RNAcentral.
GUCUACGGCCAUGCUACACUAAACAAGUCCUAUCCCCUCUGAUCUCAGAAGCUAAGCAGGGUCGGGCUUGGUUAGUACGUGGAUGGGAGACCACCUAGGAAGACCAAGUGAUGUAGGCA